CGCUCUUUCGAUCUUGGUAAUAGUACGCGCCCCGCUCCGAAACAAAGAAAAAGGUGCGUGCCGCACUCACGAGGGACUGCCAGUGAGAUACUAGAGGAAGGUGGGGAUGACGUCAAGUCCGCAUGGCCCUUAUGGGCUGGGCCACACACGUGCUACAAUGACAAUGACAAUGACAAUGGGAAGCAAGGCUGUAAGGCGGAGCGAAUCCAGAAAGAUUGCCUCAGUUCAGAUUGUUCUCUGCAACUCGGGAA
This is a long non-coding RNA of Brachypodium distachyon (stiff brome), 251 nucleotides long. RefSeq lists it as uncharacterized. The transcript is spliced from 3 exons. NCBI's taxonomy places the organism in Eukaryota, Viridiplantae, Streptophyta, Magnoliopsida, Poales, Poaceae. The record is from RefSeq and is a predicted model, not a curated record.